This 683-nucleotide unclassified non-coding RNA is filed under the name Hevea brasiliensis (rubber tree). Lineage: Eukaryota; Viridiplantae; Streptophyta; Magnoliopsida; Malpighiales; Euphorbiaceae. The record is from RNAcentral.
GAAAGACUUGAUCUCUCCAGCAAUUCUUGUUGGAUACUGAGAACAAUCAAAAGCUUCUAUUUCACUUAUGCCACUGACACCUUCAAGCAGGUUUUCAUAAAACGUGUGGGGAUCAUGACCAACUGAUGUGGCCACACCCAUCCCUGUCACAACAACUCGCCUUUCCUUGGUUGGAGGUUUCUUCUUUGGUGCGGCUUCCAUGGCCGAUUCGGAUGCAAUUGCCAUUACCUCCCCUGUUUGAGCAUAAGAGAUAAUUUUUGUUGGAGGAGGAUUAGCUGCGGAUCCGGUAAAGAGAAAGCAGGAAUUGGAAGAGGAAAAUCCAGUAAUGGUAAGGUUAGGUUGAGACAAGAAAGAAGAAGAGAUUGGAAAUGUAAGAGCACUAUUGGAUUUGGAGUUUAUGAAAACCCCUUUGGUUGUUUUACUUGGAAUAGCCCAUUUGCAUUUAGACUUAUAAAUCCCAAAAAAACCAUGUAAUUCAUGCUCCUUUUUACCAGGAACUGACAUGCAUGACCCAAUCAUCCAUGACGAUACCGUCGAUGACGCCAUUUUCUUAAAAUUCCGAUCAAACUAUACAAGCCCUUUAUAUAUUAUAUAUACUUUGAACUCUAAAGAUGAAAGAAGACAAUAGCAAUGGUGAAAAAUGCAGAGGGCGGAGAGUUCAGUUCAGAAGGAGGGGGGUGGGG